GACGAACGCUGGCGGCGUGCUUAACACAUGCAAGUCGAACGGAAAGGCCUGCUUUCCCUUGUGGAUUGCGGGUACUCGAGUGGCGAACGGGUGAGUAACACGUGAGUGAUCUGCCCCCAACUUGGGUAUAAGCCUGGGAAACUGGGUCUAAUUCCCGAUAGGACUGCAGGGUGGUGCCUGUGGUGGAAAACGAUUUUCUAGUGGUUGGGGAUGAGCUCGCGGCCUAUCAGCUUGUUGGUGGGGUAAUGGCCUACCAAGGCGGCGACGGGUAGCCGGCCUGAGAGGGUGGACGGCCACAUUGGGACUGAGAUACGGCCCAGACUCCUACGGGAGGCAGGAGUGGGGAAUAUUGGACCAUGGGCGGAAGCCUGAUGCAGCGACGCCGCGUGGGGGAUGACGGCCUUCGGGUUGUAAACUCCUUUCGACCGCGAGGAAGCCACCUGGUUGGAAGGGUGGUGACGGUAGUGGUAGAAGAAGCACCGGCUAACUACGUG
This 494-nucleotide ribosomal RNA is filed under the name uncultured bacterium. RNAcentral describes it as "partial 16S ribosomal RNA". It matches the Rfam family "Bacterial small subunit ribosomal RNA", at positions 28 to 507 of the family's 1533-position model. The record is from RNAcentral.